GUGGGGAAUAUUGGGCAAUGGGCGAAAGCCUGACCCAGCAACGCCGCGUGAAGGAAGAAGGCUUUCGGGUUGUAAACUUCUUUUGUCAGGGACGAAAAAAAUGACGGUACCUGACGAAUAAGCCACGGCUAACUACGUGCCAGCAGCCGCGGUAAUACGUAGGUGGCAAGCGUUAUCCGGAUUUACUGGGUGUAAAGGGCGUGUAGGCGGGAAAGCAAGUCAGAUGUGAAAACUAUGGGCUCAACCCAUAGCCUGCAUUUGAAACUGUUUUUCUUGAGUACUGGAGAGGCAGAUGGAAUUCCUAGUGUAGCGGUGAAAUGCGUAGAUAUUAGGAGGAACACCAGUGGCGAAGGCGAUCUGCUGGACAGCAACUGACGCUGAGGCGCGAAAGCGUGGGGAGCAAACAGGAUUAGAAACCCGAGUAGUCC
Molecule: ribosomal RNA, 428 nt
Filed under: uncultured bacterium
Lineage: Bacteria
Description: partial 16S ribosomal RNA
Rfam family: Bacterial small subunit ribosomal RNA
Source: RNAcentral